Molecule: long non-coding RNA, 3266 nt
Filed under: Mus musculus (house mouse)
Lineage: Eukaryota; Metazoa; Chordata; Mammalia; Rodentia; Muridae
Description: long non-coding RNA chr17:5227875-5231141
Source: RNAcentral
UUUUUUUUUUUUUUUUUUUUUGCUCUUAAGUUUUUUUCUCUCGCUCUCUUUUUUAAAGGUAGUGUAUGGCGCCAUGAACCUAAGUCUUUCAUUGUUAACGAAGUUCCUAGAAGGAAUUUCCGUGUGCCCUCUUUUGUGUUCCUAGUUAAAUAAAGUUAACAGUAAAUGCCCCUUCAUCAUUGCUGUACUGACCACACAACCAUGCUCUCCUCGGCCGAGGACCCAGCACUUCAGCCCGGUCCUGUUGUGAGAAGCCCAGUGACUUGCCAGAGCAGGGCCACACAGGCAUGGGGCUGCUACAACAGGCUCUGCCAGUCACUUGAGGGCUUCUGUUGGUAGCUUUUGGUGCUUGCCUGUUUUCUUACUUUUCACAUCUCUCCCUUGGCUAGACUAAGAUUGUUUUAUUUAUGAAUAUGUAUGUUUCCGAAGAGGAACCCUUACACUUAAAUGAACCUGUAAGGAGCCCAUAGAAAAGCCAGUGCCCGCAGUGCUGAUAAUGAGAAGUGACAAGGCAGCCCUGCUGGGUUUAUUUAUGACCUUCUGCCUUUGUUAGCUCUUGUGAGAAAUUUCUUUCUAACCAUAACAAUAUUGCCGGAGAUUGGCACUGUACAGAGAAAUCCUACCGAGCCCCGAGGCCCACAAACUGGCAGCCUUUCAGCUCAUAACCGAUUGCCAUGCUGCCCGUGGACUGGCGGUCCCCUCGGCUCCUCUUUUCUUCAGUUCUUACCUAGUUCUCCUCAGUCUUUCCAUGCUUGGUUUUUAAAAAGAACCCCUUUUUCUCAGAGGCAUAUGGAGUGCUACUUUGCACUGUGGAAGAAAUCUGAAGAGGGCAGACCUUAGGAGGACAGGGAGGGGCAAGUCUAGUCUGCGAUAGAUGGGAGAAAGUCACAGAGCACCCUACUGCUCCUGGAGCCGCAGAGUGGUGGACAAGCUGUCCUUGGGUAAACAGUGCACUGGUUAUUAGAUUAACUCCAUGCCAGCCCUUAAAGAUGGUUUAUCUCCGCUUGUUUUGGUCUUCCACUUUCAAACAAGCCUGGGAUUUUAAAAGCGUUCACAAAGAAUUGCCUUUAUAGUUGUGAUUCUCUUUGGUUGUAAACAAGAAUGUGUAACAUUAAACACAGAACUCUGCAGAUGAGCGAGAGGACCAGCUGUCCCUCAUGGUUUUGCUCAGGGUGCAGGGAAGCCAAUGUUGACCACGCCACUCUCUGGUCAGCCUUUGACAUAAAGCUUCCAAAAAUGACAGAAGAACAGGCUAGUGGCUUCUGCUUGAAGUAGAGAUGGACAGAUAUGUGUCUCCACAUUCCAGGGGCCAGCUUUGGAGAAGAUUAUGUGCCAUGUGACCUCACCUUUAGCUGACUUCCACAAGAGCACUAUUGACGUUUAUGGAACGUUCAUAAAGGGGUGUGUGCACAUACAAAUGUCUCUGUGAUUGUAGGUUUGCAUUCGCAUAUAUUUUGUGCUUUCUGAGUUAAACUAUUCUCUAUGUUUAUUUUCUAUGGUUCAUUGAUUUUUUUUUCUCCAGUGAAAUGAUAUUGUUUUUAACAUAAGAUACUCUAAUAAUCCAUGUUUUAAGGAACUUACUAAAUUGAGAUCUAAGUGAUUCCUAGUCCACAUUGUACUGUCCAGUUUUGCUAUUUUCUGUUUUUAAAUUUAUCUCCACACUGUAAUAUGGAGUAAUCAAAAUGAUGGCCAAUACUUAUCAAAUGAAUCUCUGCUAACACACAGUUCUCUUGGUGUCUUUGGAACAGGCCAGUUUUGUAGGUAGAUGAGGAAAGUUAAGUGGUACCCACUGGGAGUGGCACAGCCAAGAUUGGAACCCAGGCAUCCUAACCCAGGCUGACCUCUUCCAAGUGGCACAUCUCUGCUGGGCACUGUAGGCAUUAACAGAUGUGCCAGAGAACCCUGGUUUCCACAUUUCUUCCCAUGCUCUGCUACAGGUGUACAAAGCUGUCUCGUAAACGUUUUGCAGCCACAAAAGGGGGCUGUGCUGGUCCCACCUCGAUGCAGAGCUGUUGGCGUUUGUGCUCAUGCCUGGUCUUCACAUUGUCCUCCUUCGCCUGUGCUCAUCUUACACUCAGCCUUUACGUUCCGUUUCAAUGUCACGAAAGGAUACGUGAAACCAGCACUUGUGUGCCUAAUAUUCUGUAUUUAUAGGUUAGCUAAUCUUUACUAAGACAGAAGUAUUAUUCCUCCCACUGUUUGAAGGGUGAAACUGAGGCUGGUUAGCUUAAGAACCCUUUCCAACAAUAGCUGAGGACAUGUCCGAGCCCUGCUGAGUGCUGUCUGCCCUUGCUGCAGGCUCCUACCUGGAGAGCUCGCUGCCACGCUGUUGUCCCUGAGAAUCCACAUUAGAGAGGACAUGAAAUGAGCCCUUCUCCUGAUGCCAGAUAUCACAGUGUGUGCUGCGCUGUUGGUAGCUGCGGACGUUAACUCUUCCAGUAUCACUGUGAGGUCAUUACAUGUAGGGAUGAGGUCAUCCUGCAUGGUGGCCUGUGAGCCCUCAUCCUGUGCAGGAUGUGUCUGAGCCGUCUCUUUAUCCUUCCAGAGCCCAAGGGUUUUUUCUUUUUUGUUUGUUUUUGUUUUGUUUUGUUUUGUUUUGUUUUAUGACCACCCCCAGGUACCAGAAAAGGUGACUAGUGUUCUAAAGAAAACUGGGCAGAAGCUGGUAUUGAUAGUGAGGCAAGAGAAGGGGAUUCUGGAAAGGCAUCUUUGCUCCUGCCAGGCAUUGAUACUGGUGCCUGGAAUAAAAUCCAAUUCAGCUUGAAAAUAUAUGAUUCACCUGGCUACAGAGAUGCUAGGCAACAAGAGGGUUAGUGGCCCCAUGCCUUUUUAUUGUGUGUGUUUUGCUGUCUCUUGCACACACCUUGGAGAGUCUCUGAAUUCUGUUCCAGUGGGGGGGGGGGGGGCAUGCUCCAAGCAGCUGCUGAGGUGGCUGAGACAUGGAUGUGCAGGGCCAGGAGGAGGUCCAGCACGGAGCAAACUCACCCUGAGGCCUCUUUGAGCGUAUUAUUUUCCUCAUCACGAUCACAGUUAUGAUUGCUAGUACUGAAAGUUUCUAUCUGCAACCUUGACUGGGUUUAUGGUCACCUCCUCUCAAGCGGCUUUCAGAAGUAACACAAAGUGGUCAUAUGCUCUUAGAAAAAGUUAUUAUGCAAAAGUGCACUUGAAUGCUAACACUUGAGACGUUAAGUGACCAGCUGGCCUUAUAGGAAAAUAGAAAACAAGUCGUUUUGGAAAUCUCUCAUCUAAGUGAGCCUGUGAAGCAU